Molecule: transfer RNA, 72 nt
Filed under: Bos taurus (domestic cattle)
Lineage: Eukaryota; Metazoa; Chordata; Mammalia; Artiodactyla; Bovidae
Also listed under: 4 other names
Rfam family: tRNA
About the family: Transfer RNA (tRNA) molecules are approximately 80 nucleotides in length. Their secondary structure includes four short double-helical elements and three loops (D, anti-codon, and T loops).
Source: Rfam by way of RNAcentral
UCCCUGGUGGCUCAGAUGGUAAAGAAUCUGUCUGUAAUGCAGGAGACUCAGGUUUGAUUCCUGGGUUGGGAA